UGGCUCAGAGGGUAAAGUAUCUGCCUGCAAUGCGGGAGACCCCAGGUUCGAUCCCUGG
RNAcentral lists this transfer RNA (58 nucleotides) under Ovis aries (sheep). It matches the Rfam family "tRNA", at positions 8 to 63 of the family's 71-position model. Rfam says of the family: Transfer RNA (tRNA) molecules are approximately 80 nucleotides in length. Their secondary structure includes four short double-helical elements and three loops (D, anti-codon, and T loops). Lineage: Eukaryota; Metazoa; Chordata; Mammalia; Artiodactyla; Bovidae. The record is from Rfam by way of RNAcentral.